Molecule: ribosomal RNA, 332 nt
Filed under: Eubacterium sp. SG1213
Lineage: Bacteria; Bacillati; Bacillota; Clostridia; Eubacteriales; Eubacteriaceae
Description: bacterial SSU rRNA
Rfam family: Bacterial small subunit ribosomal RNA
Source: RNAcentral
UGGCUCAGGACCGAACGCUGGCGGCGUGCUUAACACAUGCAAGUCGAACGAAGCACUUUAUUUGAUUUCCUUCGGGACUGAUUAUUUUGUGACUGAGUGGCGGACGGGUGAGUAACGCGUGGGUAACCUGCCUUGUACAGGGGGAUAACAGUUGGAAACGGCUGCUAAUACCGCAUAAGCGCACAGCAUCGCAUGAUGCAGUGUGAAAAACUCCGGUGGUAUAAGAUGGACCCGCGUUGGAUUAGCUAGUUGGUGAGGUAACGGCCCACCAAGGCGACGAUCCAUAGCCGACCUGAGAGGGGACCGGCCACAUUGGGACUGAGACACGGCCC